UGCUAGCAUUAUUCCACCCUGCGUCCCACUGCUGGCUUGCUUCUGAAGCUAAGCAGGGUUGGUCCUGGUUAGUCCCUGGAAAGGAGACCAGAUGCUGCUGGAAG
Ribosomal RNA from Hucho hucho (huchen), 104 nucleotides. NCBI's taxonomy places the organism in Eukaryota, Metazoa, Chordata, Actinopteri, Salmoniformes, Salmonidae. The record is from Ensembl.